Molecule: long non-coding RNA, 776 nt
Filed under: Phoenix dactylifera (date palm)
Lineage: Eukaryota; Viridiplantae; Streptophyta; Magnoliopsida; Arecales; Arecaceae
Description: long non-coding RNA (PDAC_LNC014457)
Source: RNAcentral
UAUGAGGUUCAAAUCCGGGAUGAAGUAACCAGAGGUCAGCCCGAGUUACUGUUCAUCUGGAUAAAGAAAGAUAAAAAAAUAGGUGUUGGGUCGACUCAAAGUAAACCGGAGUCGACUCAGGGCUGAGUGGGGUCAACCCAAGUCUGGUAGGGUCGACUCUCUCAGGAAAUUCCAUAGAAUGGAGAUUUUUGGCUCUGUGCUUGGGGUCGACUCAGGGUAAGCUAGGGUCGACCCAAGCGGGGGUCGACUCUCAAAGUUGGGGUCGACCCAAGGUUUAGUAAAAUUUUGGAUUAGAAGGGAUUUGAUCCUUUCGCACACCUUGACCCUAUAGCAUUGAUCCAAGGUGUGUAUGGGAUACUCUUGCAUCAUGAUUCAUGUAAAUUGAGGAUUAAUUAAUAAGAAUAAGGGAAAAAGAAAGAUGUUAAUUAAGCGGGGGUCGUGACAAAGCUUGGUAUCAGAGCAAAGGUUAAGAAGAGUCCUGUCAGAGCAACAGGGUGAAUCAGGAUUAAGUAUAGGAUUAUACUAUGGAGCAUAGGAUUUUCUGUAUGUUAUUUUAUGAGUCAUUUACAAUUCAGUAAAAUAUAUUUGGGGAUGAGACUUAAGAGUUCUUUUUUUUUGGCUCUACUUAAGACGUAGAAUUUUAUAUCAUUUCAGUUUACAAUCAAGAUUUGUAUUUUGAUAGAAAGUCAAUUAAUAAAUUCAGAGAAUAUUGAUCAGAGUUGUGCAGCGAAAGUAUGGUGGAUCGAGUCAAUUUAAAUUGGUCAAAAAUAUUGACU